AGAGCCUUAGCUCCAUUGUAGAGCAUCUGCUUUGCAUGCAGAAGGUCCUGGCAUCAAUCCCCAGCAUCUCUG
This is a non-coding RNA of Podarcis lilfordi (Lilford's wall lizard), 72 nucleotides long. NCBI's taxonomy places the organism in Eukaryota, Metazoa, Chordata, Lepidosauria, Squamata, Lacertidae. The record is from the annotation of a GenBank genome assembly.